UUCGGAAUCUAUAAUUACCCACUAAUGUUCUAAAAACAUAAAAAACCUUUAGACCACUCUCUCUCGACAUCUAUUACUCAAAAAAAAAAAAAAAGACGACUUCUGCCGCAACUUGCCAGAGAUCGGAGAAGACCCACCAGAGCUCGUCAAGGGCCAUCCACUGCCGUUCCGGACAACCGUUUCAUUCGCUCGGUUUCUUAAUCUUUACUCGUGCGUUAUUUUACAAGGAAUCGCAAACGCAACCACUGUGAACAGGUACGAAGUGAAGAUUGGACAUAGGAUGGGCCUUAGUUAACAAGAAAUGGAUUAGUGUAGUUUAUUUAUGUUUCGCGUUUGUAAUUGUUUAUUUGAAUAAAUUGUUUCGUGAAACAUUUGUUAUGAAUAAAUUAUUAUUUAAAACACGCAAUAGCAAGUCAUAAGCUCUCGAGUUAACCCGAUCAUGCUCCGAUCACCUAUUUCCGCUGCGGGUCGGGGUGUGACAGUCGUAGAGGGAUGAGUGACGAAGAUGUUUUCAAAGAGGCGAUGCGUAAAUACGAAAAUUCGCAUCGGGUCGUUUUCCCACACGUACGGGCUUGGGAUGUUUUGCGAACCAAAUACAAGCGAGCGCCGGUUCCAAACGAGGUUGCAAUGACGAACAAAAACCUCAGAGACCGGUAGUUAUAGUGCGGGGGGCUCGGACGCACAUGCCAAAUAAAUAUAAACAACAAGCCCGAAUUUGACGAAGAAGAGUACGAGGUUCGAGAGGAGGAACGUCCCCCGGGCAGGGACAAAUCCAAAAAGACGGCGGCUGCAAAAAAACAAGCCGCAACGGGGGGCGGUUCCAAAAUGGACGAGUUUAUGGCCCAGUUCAAAGCGUACACCGAGGUCACGGCCCAAAAGGCAAAAGCGAAUGAACGUGAGGUGGAAGAACGAGUUUGAUUGAAGAAUGAAAAGAACGAAUAUAAAGAUUGGGAGAUAAUGACAACCGAUAUAAACUCGUAUCCGGAAGAACACCGAGCGAUUUUACGUAAAAUGAAAGAAAAGAUCGCGAAAAAGUGUAGUUCUUAGGAUUUUUAUUUUUUUAGGUUAUGUUUUUUGAGUAGGAGUUGGGUGGAAAGUGUGUUUUUCCUAGAAAGUCUAGGAAGUAAUAAGAACACGACAUAUGGCAUUGAAGGAUUUUAUC
Molecule: long non-coding RNA, 1162 nt
Organism: Helianthus annuus (common sunflower)
Lineage: Eukaryota; Viridiplantae; Streptophyta; Magnoliopsida; Asterales; Asteraceae
Exons: 3
Source: RefSeq, a predicted model, not a curated record